GCCCCGGCUAACUACGUGCCAGCAGCCGCGGUAAUACGUAGGGGGCGAGCGUUGUCCGGAAUUAUUGGGCGUAAAGGGUACGUAGGCGGCUUUUUAAGUUUGACGUGAAAGCCCGGGGCUUAACUCCGGCAAGCGUUGAAAACUGGAGGGCUUGAGUGAUGGAAGGGACAGUGGAAUUCCUGGUGUAGUGGUGAAAUGCGCAGAGAUCAGGAAGAAUACCAGUGGCGAAGGCGACUGUCUGGACAUUAACUGACGCUGAGGUACGAAAGCGUGGGGAGCAAACAGGAUCAGAUACCCUGGUAGUCCAUGCCGUAAACGGUGGGCGCUAGGUGUGGGUUUCCUUCCACGGGAUCCGUGCCGUAGCUAACGCAUUAAGCGCCCCGCCUGGGGAGUACGGCCGCA
This 402-nucleotide ribosomal RNA is filed under the name uncultured bacterium. RNAcentral describes it as "bacterial SSU rRNA". It matches the Rfam family "Bacterial small subunit ribosomal RNA", at positions 490 to 890 of the family's 1533-position model. The record is from RNAcentral.